Molecule: long non-coding RNA, 751 nt
Organism: Columba livia (rock pigeon)
Lineage: Eukaryota; Metazoa; Chordata; Aves; Columbiformes; Columbidae
Exons: 2
Source: RefSeq, a predicted model, not a curated record
UUUGGCAUCUGGCAAAGAAAGGCGCAGUCAGUUUUACACCCAGACAACCCUCCAUACUUUUUUUUUUUCUAAUUUUUUUUUUUAAUAUUUUUCCGAGGGAAAGCGCCGCCGCCAGAGCCCUCAAGACCGAGACCCGAGUCAGACUGAAGCAGGAUCCCUGAGACUGCGGCACUGCACCUGGCCACUGCACCCAAGGAAGGAGAAAAAAAAACAACAACAGAGAAGGAAGGAGAGGGCGAACAAGUUUCCAAGAGCGUUCAGGGGAUGGGCAGCGCUGCCCCCGAGCUGGCUGCCUGCCCACCGCGAAUCUGGGGACACCUCCAGCCCACCCAGCAUCCCGGAGAAAGCAUCGCCGCUACUGCUGCCUUGGAGUUUUGGCAAACAGGAGAAGAAGGAGGGGGGGGGGAGACCAAAACGAGGUACCAAGUAGCUCGCAGAAACCUCACUUUUCUCGUAGCCCCCACCGAAAGAAAGCGGGACAAAUCUUAUUAACACGACUGUCAAGAUAGAGCCAGAUUCAUGUUACAUUAAAGCCUUCCCAACUUUGCUUUCCGAAAUUUUAUCUCCUCGGUACGUUUUAAACCGGAGACAAUCACAUCAUUUUAAUCUGACCCCUCUCUGGGUCAAUCGGUCGCGCAAGGAUUAAUUAUUGUUUACAAGGCCUGCUUCACACUAAUUUUGUUCCGAUGCUUUCCUCAUUCUCCUCCUCCAAAACGCACCUUAAUAAAACUGAAAUUUCUUCAGUUUGGUA